RNAcentral lists this unclassified non-coding RNA (269 nucleotides) under Dactylella heptameres. Its description in RNAcentral is "partial internal transcribed spacer region". The stretch from base 1 to 46 matches the Rfam family "Eukaryotic small subunit ribosomal RNA", at positions 1786 to 1831 of the family's 1831-position model. The record is from RNAcentral. Lineage: Eukaryota; Fungi; Ascomycota; Orbiliomycetes; Orbiliales; Orbiliaceae.
AAGUCGUAACAAGGUUUCCGUAGGUGAACCUGCGGAAGGAUCAUUAAACAACUAAUAGUCUUUUUACAAAACUAUAUCAACCCUUUGUGAACCAAAAAACCUUUUCGCUUCGGUAGCAGGCUUGGGUGGUGCGGUUUGAAAAAAUCCAACACUCUCAAGCUGUCAGCCUGCCGGCAGCACCAAACAUAAACCUGUUUUAAAACUAUUGUCUGAACAGAAUCAUUUUCGAAUGAAAAUUAAAACUUUCAACAACGGAUCUCUUGGUUCUC